UAAAGGUCUCUAACGGUCUCUCUCCUCCUAACACCAUGAGAAGUCAACGUUCCCUCUUAAAGGUCUCUAACGGUCUCUCUCCUCCUGACACCAUGAGAAGUCAACGUUCCCUCUUAAAGGUCUCUAACGGUCUCUCUCCUCCUAACACCAUGAGAAGUCAACGUUCCCUCUUAAAGGUCUCUAACGGUCUCUCUCCUCCUGACACCAUGAGAAGUCAACGUUCCCUCUUAAAGGUCUCUAACGGUCUCUCUCCUCCUGACACCAUGAGAAGUCAACGUUCCCUCUUAAAGGUCUCUAACGGUCUCUCUCCUCCUGACACCAUGAGAAGUCAACGUUCCCUCUUAAAGGUCUCUAACGGUCUCUCUCCUCCUAACACCAUGAGAAGUCAACGUUCCCUCUUAAAGGUCUCUAAACGGUCUCUCUCCUCCUAACACCAUGAGAAGUCAACGUUCCCUCUUAAAGGUCUCUAACGGUCUCUCUCCUCCUGACACCAUGAGAAGUCAACGUUCCCUCUUAAAGGUCUCUAACGGUCUCUCUCCUCCUGACACCAUGAGAAGUCAACGUUCCCUCUUAAAGGUCUCUAACGGUCUCUCUCCUCCUGACACCAUGAGAAGUCAACGUUCCCUCUUAAAGGUCUCUAACGGUCUCUCUCCUCCUGACACCAUGAGAAGUCAACGUUCCCUCUUAAAGGUCUCUAACGGUCUCUCUCCUCCUGACACCAUGAGAAGUCAACGUUCCCUCUUAAAGGUCUCUAACGGUCUCUCUCCUCCUGACACCAUGAGAAGUCAACGUUCCCUCUUAAAGGUCUCUAACGGUCUCUCUCCUCCUGACACCAUGAGAAGUCAACGUUCCCUCUUAAAGGUCUCUAACGGUCUCUCUCCUCCUAACACCAUGAGAAGUCAACGUUCCCUCUUAAAGGUCUCUAACGGUCUCUCUCUUCCUGACACCAUGAGAAGUCAACGUUCCCUCUUAAAGGUCUCUAACGGUCUCUCUCCUCCUGACACCAUGAGAAGUCAACGUUCCCUCUUAAAGGUCUCUAAACGGUC
This is a long non-coding RNA of Oncorhynchus keta (chum salmon), 1046 nucleotides long. RefSeq lists it as uncharacterized. Lineage: Eukaryota; Metazoa; Chordata; Actinopteri; Salmoniformes; Salmonidae. The record is from RefSeq and is a predicted model, not a curated record. The transcript has 3 exons.